GUUUUCAUUGGUACGGAAUUAGCUAGCCCUGGGAAAGACAGUCCCUCCAGAGUUAGCAACACCCCAAGAUGUCAAAGAUAAAAAUGCAAAAAUUAAAACUCCAUGAUUAACACAACUUUGAAGUCCUUCUCACUUGUCUUUAGAUGAAGGGCAACAUCAUUGCAACAAGUCACACUUUGAGAACUCAAGAGAAUAUGUUUGUUCUGAAAAUCCAGGAAUUAUUGCCAACCCAUGGUUGUCUCCAUAUGUCUUGGGAAAAAUAGGAAAAGGAUUUUUUGAGUUGGUGAUUUGAAUCCAAGACACAAAGAUUCAGGCUCUGGUAAAAAGAUUGUAUAGGCUAUAUUGGCUGACAUAAAAGAGACAUAAAAGGCACACAAUGAAAUCUUAAUAAAUGUAUUGGAUGUUGCAGCAUUAACUGAUGAGCCAGACAAUGUAAAGACCUCAGACUACCAAAUGUUUUGAAAGACGAAUAGUGAAUGUGAAACUGUGAACCAAAAUAGAUUUUUAGAAUCCUUGAAAAAAUAGAGCUAGAGAAAGUCUUUGAGACCAUUGAUUGCAAAUAUUUGAGUUUACAACUGAGCAAAUGGAGAAAAGAGAAGUGACUCGUCAGUCCAACAAGUGGCAGAAUCAGAACCAGACCCCAAUGCUUGGGUCUUCUGUCCCUCCUGGCACCAAAGUCACCUAUCAUAAGUAACUUGAGUUUCAGAGGGGAAGGAAAAGACUACAAUGUCCCAGCACUGUUCCAGACACUUUUUAGGGGACUCCAAGACACCUUGUGUAAUGCCUAUUUUAAGUAGCUGGAAGAUUCUAUAGCAUGGGAAAAGCCCACUGAAGGCAAAAGUAAACAUUACCUAUUGUGGUCCUGGAAAAGAAAAUCAUCUCUCAUUUAUCUCCUGGAGCUGUUUGACGAACUUGUGCCCUGGUUUUACUUUGGGAGCCACCUUUCUCUUUCAGGUGCUGUCUCAGUGGAAUAGUCAACCAAUGUAUCCUACAUUUUGGACCAGCAGAAGGAAGUAAUGAGAACAGAAAACAAAUAAGAAGUGAGUUGGAGGGAGAAGGAGACUUUAGCAUCUUCCUGAAAUCAGGAAGAAAGUUUCAAGAAUAAAGUAAUCCAUAGGGUCAAAUACUGCAGUAAGUUUAAUUAGGAUGAAGACUGCAAAGAUGGUAUUAGUUUGGUACUUAGGACAUUGGUGACCUCCACAGGUGACUUUCAGGAGAAUUAUCUGGGGAACUUGUUGAUAGAAUUUGUGAAUCUCCACCUUUAGGGAUUCUGAUUUAGAAGGAGUAGGAAGAAGGCCUUAGGAUCUCCAUUUAUAACAACCACUACUGAUUAUUUUGAGGCAGGUAGCAUACAGACCACAUUUGAAAGAAACACUAGGUAAGUGUGAUUUUCAUUCAAAGGACAAAAAACAUAAAGUUACCUAAUUCAGGGACCAUUUCAAAGACCAAAUCAAAUCAGUAGCCUGGCUGAUCUGAUCGACUGCGCAGAAACUAGCCAUUACCAUGGCAAAGUGGGGAGGAACAGUCAAUAAAAAGCAAUUGAUGGCCAGGCGCGGUGGCUCACGCCUGUAAUCCCAGCACUUUGGGAGGCCAAGGCGG
This 1599-nucleotide long non-coding RNA is filed under the name Homo sapiens (human). RNAcentral describes it as "non-protein coding LINC01717:11". Lineage: Eukaryota; Metazoa; Chordata; Mammalia; Primates; Hominidae. The record is from RNAcentral.